RNAcentral lists this ribosomal RNA (237 nucleotides) under uncultured bacterium. RNAcentral describes it as "partial 16S ribosomal RNA". It matches the Rfam family "Bacterial small subunit ribosomal RNA", at positions 335 to 589 of the family's 1533-position model. The record is from RNAcentral.
UUUCCUACGGGGGGCAGCAGUGGGGGAUAUUGCACAAUGGGGGGAACCCUGAUGCAGCGACGCCGCGUGGGUGAAGGAGCGUUUCGGCGCGUAAAGCCCUAUCGGCAGGGAAGAAGAUGACGGUAUCUGACCAAGAAGCCCCGGCUAACUACGUGCCAGCAGCCGCGGUAAUACGUAGGUGGCAAGCGUUGUCCGGAAUUACUGGGUGUAAAGGGAGCGCAGGCGGGAAGCCCAGUC